UUUUGGGCAAUGGGCGAAAGCCUGACCCAGCAACGCCGCGUGAGGGAUGAAGUAUUUCGGUAUGUAAACCUCGAAAGAAUGGGAAGAAUAAAUGACGGUACCAUUUAUAAGCUCCGGCUAACUACGUGCCAGCAGCCGCGGUAAUACGUAGGGAGCAAGCGUUGUUCGGAUGUACUGGGCGUAAAGGGCGCGUAGGCGGCGCGGUAAGUCACUUGUGAAAUCUCUGAGCUUAACUCAGAACGGCCAAGUGAUACUGCUGUGCUAGAGUGCGGAAGAGGCACCCGGAAAUCUUGGUGUAGCGGUGAAAUGCGUAGAUAUCAAGAGUAACACCUGAGGCUAAGGCGGGUUGCUGAGCCGACACUGACGCUGAUGCGCGAAAGCCAGGGGAGCAAACG
RNAcentral lists this ribosomal RNA (395 nucleotides) under uncultured bacterium. RNAcentral describes it as "bacterial SSU rRNA". It matches the Rfam family "Bacterial small subunit ribosomal RNA", at positions 362 to 774 of the family's 1533-position model. The record is from RNAcentral.